Molecule: long non-coding RNA, 401 nt
Filed under: Carica papaya (papaya)
Lineage: Eukaryota; Viridiplantae; Streptophyta; Magnoliopsida; Brassicales; Caricaceae
Description: long non-coding RNA (CPAP_LNC004037)
Source: RNAcentral
CUGUUAACUAGAAUACACAUCAUGUCCUAAAAGUUCAGCAAUCCAUCAGUAGAGACUCAAAAUUCUAAAUUUACUCUCUAUUCUGCACCCUUUAUGAGAGCUGCUAGGGUGGAAUUGGUGGCUUGGGCUUCGUUUAUUCUCUGGAUCAAUUUGAGUUGGACAGUCAGGUGGACCAAACAUGCAACUCUCUUCAAAUCCUGAAAUCGUAUAUGUUAUGCAGCUAAUAUUACCCUGCAUUCAGAAACUAUUAGGUGAGCUAACAUACCUACACAUUUUCUGCUGAGUGCGUCGGUUACCACAUUGCAUUUGUCUGGAUGAUACAAAAUAUUACAAUUGUAGUCCUUUAGAAACUCUAUCUAACACCUUUGAUGCAUGUUAAGAUUUUUCUAAAUGAAUAUGUG